This 436-nucleotide ribosomal RNA is filed under the name uncultured Parvibaculum sp. RNAcentral describes it as "bacterial SSU rRNA". It matches the Rfam family "Bacterial small subunit ribosomal RNA", at positions 8 to 488 of the family's 1533-position model. The record is from RNAcentral. Lineage: Bacteria; Pseudomonadati; Pseudomonadota; Alphaproteobacteria; Hyphomicrobiales; Parvibaculaceae.
AGAGUUUGAUCCUGGCUCAGAACGAACGCUGGCGGCAGGCUUAACACAUGCAAGUCGAACGGUUGUAGCAAUACAGCAGUGGCAGACGGGUGAGUAACACGUGGGAACCUUCCUAGGGGUACGGAACAACUCAGGGAAACUUGAGCUAAUACCGUAUACGUCCGUGAGGAGAAAGAUUUAUCGCCCCUAGACGGGCCCGCGUAGGAUUAGGUAGUUGGUGAGGUAACGGCUCACCAAGCCUACGAUCCUUAGCUGAUCUGAGAGGAUGAUCAGCCACACUGGGACUGAGACACGGCCCAGACUCCUACGGGAGGCAGCAGUGGGGAAUCUUGGACAAUGGGCGCAAGCCUGAUCCAGCCAUGCCGCGUGAGUGAAGAAGGCCUUCGGGUUGUAAAGCUCUUUUACCAGGGACGAUAAUGACGGUACCUGAGAAUAG